GUCGUAGUGACCUGCGGAGGAUCAUUACCGAGUGAGGGCCCUCUGGGUCCAACCUCCCACCCGUGUUUAUUUUACCUUGUUGCUUCGGCGGGCCCGCCUUAACUGGCCGCCGGGGGGCUUACGCCCCCGGGCCCGCGCCCGCCGAAGACACCCUCGAACUCUGUCUGAAGAUUGAAGUCUGAGUGAAAAUAUAAAUUAUUUAAAACUUUCAACAACGGAUCUCUUGGUUCCGGCAUCGAUGAAGAACGCAGCGAAAUGCGAUACGUAAUGUGAAUUGCAAAUUCAGUGAAUCAUCGAGUCUUUGAACGCACAUUGCGCCCCCUGGUAUUCCGGGGGGCAUGCCUGUCCGAGCGUCAUUGCUGCCCUCAAGCCCGGCUUGUGUGUUGGGCCCCGUCCCCCGAUCUCCGGGGGACGGGCCCGAAAGGCAGCGGCGGCACCGCGUCCGGUCCUCGAGCGUAUGGGGCUUUGUCACCCGCUCUGUAGGCCCGGCCGGCGCUUGCCGAUCAACCCAAAUUUUUAUCCAGGUUGACCUCGGAUCAGGUAGGGAUACCCGCUGAACUUAAGCAUAUCA
This 571-nucleotide ribosomal RNA is filed under the name Penicillium crustosum. Its description in RNAcentral is "eukaryotic LSU rRNA". The stretch from base 204 to 356 matches the Rfam family "5.8S ribosomal RNA". The record is from RNAcentral. Lineage: Eukaryota; Fungi; Ascomycota; Eurotiomycetes; Eurotiales; Aspergillaceae.